UACGGGGGGGGCAAGCGUUGUUCGGAAUUACUGGGCGUAAAGGGCUCGUAGGCGGCCAACUAAGUCAGACGUGAAAUCCCUCGGCUUAACCGGGGAACUGCGUCUGAUACUGGAUGGCUUGAGUUUGGGAGAGGGAUGCGGAAUUCCAGGUGUAGCGGUGAAAUGCGUAGAUAUCUGGAGGAACACCGGUGGCGAAGGCGGCUUUCUGGACAAAUACCGACGCUGAGGCACGAAAGCUAGGGGAGCAAACAGG
RNAcentral lists this ribosomal RNA (253 nucleotides) under uncultured bacterium. RNAcentral's name for it is "partial 16S ribosomal RNA". It matches the Rfam family "Bacterial small subunit ribosomal RNA", at positions 524 to 776 of the family's 1533-position model. The record is from RNAcentral.